RNAcentral lists this ribosomal RNA (253 nucleotides) under uncultured bacterium. RNAcentral describes it as "partial 16S ribosomal RNA". It matches the Rfam family "Bacterial small subunit ribosomal RNA", at positions 524 to 776 of the family's 1533-position model. The record is from RNAcentral.
UACGUAGGGCGCAAGCGUUGUCCGGAAUUAUUGGGCGUAAAGAGCUCGUAGGCGGUUUGUCGCGUCUGCUGUGAAAACCUAAGGCUCAACCUUGGGCUUGCAGUGGGUACGGGCAGACUAGAGUGUGGUAGGGGAGACUGGAAUUCCUGGUGUAGCGGUGGAAUGCGCAGAUAUCAGGAGGAACACCGAUGGCGAAGGCAGGUCUCUGGGCCACUACUGACGCUGAGAAGCGAAAGCAUGGGGAGCGAACAGG